Molecule: non-coding RNA, 46 nt
Organism: Trichobilharzia regenti
Lineage: Eukaryota; Metazoa; Platyhelminthes; Trematoda; Strigeidida; Schistosomatidae
Source: Rfam
GUUCUGAUGAAGAGUCCAAAACUAGGACGAAACAGCUGUCUAGUAC